CUGGCAGCUUCUUGCCCUGCGAGACGCCGGCGGCGUUGGCCUUGGCCGCCUUGUGGAUGGACCGCAGCGCGUAGUUCCAGCGGCAGAGUCCGCCCUGGUCCUUGAGCGCCUCCACGGCGCCCACGCUCAUCGCCACCAUCCACGACGCCUUCGCUGCACCCGCCAUUGAAGGUUGAUGACUUGAUUCACUGGUGAUCUGUGGAAAUUUUCCUCGCUUGCAGUGGACUCGUUGUACUGUAGUGGGUUGAUGCUGUGUUGGUUAAGUUGAGGAGAGCGGGUGGGGGGUGGUGCGGUCUUUUAUACUGGAGUGGCCUGGCGAAACAGGCGGCGGGCGCGCGUUGGUUUUUCCGGGAUACCGGUGGUUC
This 365-nucleotide small RNA is filed under the name Oryza sativa Japonica Group (Japanese rice). Its description in RNAcentral is "sRNA Os04g0635201". Lineage: Eukaryota; Viridiplantae; Streptophyta; Magnoliopsida; Poales; Poaceae. The record is from RNAcentral.